Molecule: long non-coding RNA, 1461 nt
Organism: Pieris napi
Lineage: Eukaryota; Metazoa; Arthropoda; Insecta; Lepidoptera; Pieridae
Exons: 3
Source: RefSeq, a predicted model, not a curated record
CAAAUUAGCUAUGCUUUUUGCUAUACUGUUAGAACGACGACGGAGCAUCUAAUUAAAAAAAGUUACCGGUCGUCAAGAUGACAUCAUGCAGGAGACUGACAAGAACUAAUGUCAAACACGUAACGAUGACACCGCAAUCGAAAUUCGAAAAGUAAUAAUAGACGUGGCACGUGUUUGUUCUCGUGAUCAAAGAAUUGUAUAGAGCAAGGGGAAAACGAGCUCAUCUGACAAGUGAUACCGAUAGACACUCGCAUUGCCAGAGGGCUUGCAAAUGCGUUGCCGGCUUUUUAAGAGUCGGUGUGGCCUUUUCCUUGAAAGUGCGAGGCAAAAACUGCGUUAAAAAACGCUCAGUUGUGGAACGACGGACAUCGAGGUAAUACGGAUGGAACUUCGUAUUCUGACUCGACGUCCGAUGAUGAAACUCAGCUGCAGGUAUUAAUCCGAACAACUCAACAACUCUGAACAGUCUCCGAUUGCGAUUCAACCAUUCUUCAAGCUAUGCUUAUAAAUAUUCUCGAUCUAUACACCUAAAAUAAAGGAAAAAAUCUAAAAAGUUCUUAACCUUGUAACAACGAGGAAGUCGAUUUCAAAGACGCAAAUAUAAUUGUUUCAAAUGUUACAUACUAAAUUGUUCGUUCUACGUAUUUACGACAAAGUACUUAAAAUUACAAUGGCGACACAAAAAAGUUUCGGAAUACAAAUUUACAAUGUUGUUUUUAUACUUGUAUCGCAUUUUUAAUGAAAUAUUGUCAGCCAUAAUAAUAAUAUGUAAAUUUAAUCUCGAAUAAAUGAAAGACUUAACGGAAGCACGUACUAGUGAAAGACUUUUUUUUAGCUACCAUUUGGAUCUGUAGUGAACUUAUUUUAGUUUUAAUCUUUACUAAAACUCACCGUUAACUUGUAUUGAUCGAGUCUAUGGGUAAGGAUGAUUUUCCCAAAACGAGAAUUAGCACUAAGUCUCUUACGUCAAAAAUGUAUUGAAUUUUUAUAUACGCAAGGCAUAGUCUGAUCGGUCUAGUUUCUGACCAUCACCAGGGUGGAAAAUAUGAAGAUAAUUCAGAGUGGAGCUAAGUAUAUCUUUCGUAUGUCAAAAAUGUAUUGCGUCUUAAGUCUCGUUUUACAAUCUUACUCUAAGUACGACUGAUAAUAUUGAGAUGAUUAAUAGUUACAUUUUUUGGCAAUUAGUGAGCCUAAAUGGAAUAUUUUCUAAAUAUAUUAAGUAGUAGAAUAACAUUAAAACAUAUAGCCUAAAGUUUACUAAACUUGAGAAUGCGAAAGACAACAUUUGAAAUACGACUUUUGUUAUAUAAAUCGUAGUACUUGUUUUGUCUAAGUUUUCAUAUCACGCCAAAAUCACUUGUAUUUUACCAGGUUGCUAAAUUUAAUUUUCCUACAUAAUUUACAAUCGAGCUGACACUGAACUAGUAAAUCAAUCAUGUUAAUGAUAAUAAUAGCACUAAU